AAAAAAAAAAAAAAAAAAAACUGUCUUCUAAUCUAAUUUAAUGUCCAAUAAAAAUCAUUAUAUUUCCUUUUCACUUAGCUGCCUCCAAAACUCAACUUUAACUGGGAUUUCCAAGAUCUUUCAAUUUUAGAGGCAGCUUGUUCUGUAGGAUGGCAUUACAUUCUUCUGUUAGAGCAACUAUCUCAUAGUCCUCUGGUCUCCUUUUCUUGGAGAGGAUUUCCUUUAAGAAUUUUGUAUAGGAGGGCAUUUGAGAUAACACUUCUGUAAAAGGAAUAUUGAUAUAGAGCUUUUGCAAAACCUCUAAAAAUUUCCCAAGCUGCUUGUCCAAUUUAACUUUCUAGAAUUUCUGAGGAGAAGUUAGGGGGGGCUGGUAAGGUUCUGGUAGUUUCUUUUUCUUCUUUUCCCCCUCUUCUUUGCUUUCCUUAGCUUGCUUAUCUUCUUCCUCUUCUUGAAUAGCAGGAUUUCUAGGAGUUUCUUCUUUCUGUUUUUGCUUUUCUUCUGGUUCUUGUAAUGUUCUCCCACUCCUCAAUGUGACAGCUUUGCAAUGUUCUUUGGGAUUCAUCUCAGGUUGACUAGGUAACUUUCCACCUUGUUUGCUUGAAGAACUGGCCUGCUGAGCGAUCUGAUUUUCAAGCAUUUUAUUAUGGGUGGCCAGUUGAUCAACUUUGGAAGUUAGUUGCUUGAUCAUCUUAUUUUGCUGUUGCUGUGCUGCUAAAAAGCUCUCCAUCAUAGACUCUAUAGUCAACUUUGAUUCUACCUGUUGAGGUUGAGGGAGUGGUAGUUGUUGAUGCAUCAAAUUAUACUCUCUGUUCUGGAAUCCUGGUGGUGGUUGCCUAUAUCCUUGCUGUUUGUUUAUGGGUUAAUUCUGAGAAUUCUACAAGUUGGACCAAGAGAAGUUUGGGUGGUUCCUCCAUCCAGGGUUAUAUGUGUUGGAAUAUGGGUUAUUGACCUGCCUCUAGUUGAAGUUUUCUCCAUUAUUUACAUAGUUCAGCUGCUCUAUGGAAGGCUCGCUAUAAAGACUGCAUUCUGAAGUUGUAUAAUCUCCUCCACAACUACCGUAGAAUUGGUUACUUGCUCCUAUUACAUUGGCCUGCAUUCUAUCAAGUCUUUUAGUGAGUUAGUCAAACUGAGCAUUAGCAGUACAGCAAUAGCAAAAUUCUAUUGCUAGGCAUCCAAUUCUGAGCGUUAGCAGCACAGCAAUAGUCAAACUGAGCGUUAGCAGCACUGGCAU
This 1231-nucleotide unclassified non-coding RNA is filed under the name Hevea brasiliensis (rubber tree). The record is from RNAcentral. Lineage: Eukaryota; Viridiplantae; Streptophyta; Magnoliopsida; Malpighiales; Euphorbiaceae.